UAUGCCCACACCACCUUGAAACACUGGUCCCCGUACGAUCCUAGAAGUUAAGCAACUUCGAGCUUGGUCAGUAUCUAGAUAGGUAAACGUUUGGGAAUAUCAGGUGUCAU
Molecule: non-coding RNA, 110 nt
Organism: Acanthosepion pharaonis
Lineage: Eukaryota; Metazoa; Mollusca; Cephalopoda; Sepiida; Sepiidae
Source: the annotation of a GenBank genome assembly